RNAcentral lists this ribosomal RNA (424 nucleotides) under Fusobacteriota bacterium. RNAcentral's name for it is "Fusobacteria bacterium partial 16S ribosomal RNA". It matches the Rfam family "Bacterial small subunit ribosomal RNA", at positions 355 to 776 of the family's 1533-position model. The record is from RNAcentral. Lineage: Bacteria; Fusobacteriati; Fusobacteriota.
UGAGGAAUAUUGGUCAAUGGGCGAGAGCCUGAACCAGCCAAGUAGCGUGCAGGAUGACGGCCCUAUGGGUUGUAAACUGCUUUUAUGUGGGGAUAAAGUGCGUGACGUGUCAUGCAUUGCAGGUACCACAUGAAUAAGGACCGGCUAAUUCCGUGCCAGCAGCCGCGGUAAUACGGAAGGUCCGGGCGUUAUCCGGAUUUAUUGGGUUUAAAGGGAGCGUAGGCUGUCGAUUAAGCGUGUUGUGAAAUUUACCGGCUCAACCGGUGGCUUGCAGCGCGAACUGGUCGACUUGAGUAUGCAGGAAGUGGGCGGAAUUCAUGGUGUAGCGGUGAAAUGCUUAGAUAUCAUGACGAACUCCGAUUGCGCAGGCAGCUUACUGUAGCAUAACUGACGCUGAUGCUCGAAAGUGCGGGUAUCAAACAGG